GAUGAAGAACGUAGCGAAAUGCGAUAAGUAGUGUGAAUUGCAGAAUUCAGUGAAUCAUCGAAUCUUUGAACGCACAUUGCGCCUUUUGUAUUCCAAAGGGCAUGCCUGUUCGAGCGUCAUUUGUACCCUCAAGCUUUGCUUGGUGUUGGGCGUCUUGUCUCUAGCUUUGCUGGAGACUCGCCUUAAAGUAAUUGGCAGCCGGCCUACUGGUUUCGGAGCGCAGCACAAGUCGCACUCUCUAUCAGCAAAGGUCUAGCAUCCAUUAAGCCUUUUUUUUCAACUUUUGACCUCGGAUCAGGUAGGGAUACCCGCUGAACUUAAGCAUAUCAAUAAGCGGAGGA
RNAcentral lists this unclassified non-coding RNA (341 nucleotides) under soil metagenome. Its description in RNAcentral is "partial contains 5.8S ribosomal RNA, internal transcribed spacer 2, and large subunit ribosomal RNA". The stretch from base 1 to 119 matches the Rfam family "5.8S ribosomal RNA", at positions 35 to 154 of the family's 154-position model. The record is from RNAcentral.